GGGGGUGAAUUGGGUCUUUUAAAACCUUUUAAACUACUUCUAAUCUUUUAGAUUAAUUAUGCUAAGUUGUAUGGAUGCUUAGUGAAGCUUAACCUUAGCAAGAGUAUGAUUCUAAUCUAAUCAACUAUUAAGCAGCAUGUUCAAUAAAAGAUUAGUCUAGUUUUGCCCUAGUAUGCUAUUCAAUUUAAUGAUUGAGUAAAUU
This 202-nucleotide long non-coding RNA is filed under the name Phoenix dactylifera (date palm). RNAcentral describes it as "long non-coding RNA (PDAC_LNC013266)". Lineage: Eukaryota; Viridiplantae; Streptophyta; Magnoliopsida; Arecales; Arecaceae. The record is from RNAcentral.